This 106-nucleotide small nuclear RNA is filed under the name Camelus ferus (Wild Bactrian camel). The record is from RNAcentral. Lineage: Eukaryota; Metazoa; Chordata; Mammalia; Artiodactyla; Camelidae.
GUGCUCUCUUCGGCAGCACAUAUGCUAAAAAAUUGGAAUGAUACAGAGGUUAGCAUGGCCUCUGCACAAGGAUGACAUGCAAAUUCAUGAAGUGUUCCAUAUUUUU